Molecule: transfer RNA, 84 nt
Filed under: Mustela putorius furo (domestic ferret)
Lineage: Eukaryota; Metazoa; Chordata; Mammalia; Carnivora; Mustelidae
Rfam family: tRNA
About the family: Transfer RNA (tRNA) molecules are approximately 80 nucleotides in length. Their secondary structure includes four short double-helical elements and three loops (D, anti-codon, and T loops).
Source: Rfam by way of RNAcentral
ACCUGGUUGGCUCAGUCGGCUGAGCAUCUGCCUUUGACUCAGGUCAUGAUCCCAGGGGCCUGGGAUUGAAUCCCGCAUCAGGUU